RNAcentral lists this ribosomal RNA (376 nucleotides) under uncultured bacterium. Its description in RNAcentral is "bacterial SSU rRNA". It matches the Rfam family "Bacterial small subunit ribosomal RNA", at positions 524 to 898 of the family's 1533-position model. The record is from RNAcentral.
UACAGAGGGGGCAAGCGUUAUUCGGAAUUAUUGGGCGUAAAGGGCGCGUAGGCGGUUUUUUAAGUCAGAUGUGUAAUCCCCGGGCUCAACCUGGGAACUGCAUCUGAGACUGGAAGGCUAGAGUACUGGAGAGGGUGGUGGAAUUCCUCGUGUAGCGGUGAAAUGCGUAGAGAUGGGGAGGAACACCAGUGGCGAAGGCGGCCACCUGGACAGUAACUGACGCUGAGGCGCGAAAGUGUGGGUAGCAAACAGGAUUAGAUACCCUGGUAGUCCACGCUGUAAACGAUGAACACUUGGUGUGGAGGGAGUUGACCCCUUCCGUGCCGGAGCUAACGCGUUAAGUGUUCCGCCUGGGGAGUACGGUCGCAAGGCUGAA